AGUCGUAACAAGGUCUCCGUAGGUGAACCUGCGGAGGGAUCAUUACACAAAUAUGAAGGCGGGCUGGAACCUCUCGGGGUUACAGCCUUGCUGAAUUAUUCACCCUUGUCUUUUGCGUACUUCUUGUUUCCUUGGUGGGUUCGCCCACCACUAGGACAAACAUAAACCUUUUGUAAUUGCAAUCAGCGUCAGUAACAAAUUAAUAAUUACAACUUUCAACAACGGAUCUCUUGGUUCUGGCAUCGAUGAAGAACGCAGCGAAAUGCGAUAAGUAGUGUGAAUUGCAGAAUUCAGUGAAUCAUCGAAUCUUUGAACGCACAUUGCGCCCUUUGGUAUUCCAAAGGGCAUGCCUGUUCGAGCGUCAUUUGUACCCUCAAGCUUUGCUUGGUGUUGGGCGUCUUGUCUCUAGCUUUGCUGGAGACUCGCCUUAAAGUAAUUGGCAGCCGGCCUACUGGUUUCGGAGCGCAGCACAAGUCGCACUCUCUAUCAGCAAAGGUCUAGCAUCCAUUAAGCCUUUUUUUUUCAACUUUUGACCUCGGAUCAGGUAGGGAUACCCGCUGAACUUAAGCAUAUCAAUAAGUCG
This 583-nucleotide ribosomal RNA is filed under the name uncultured fungus. RNAcentral's name for it is "eukaryotic LSU rRNA". The stretch from base 211 to 364 matches the Rfam family "5.8S ribosomal RNA". Lineage: Eukaryota; Fungi. The record is from RNAcentral.